RNAcentral lists this ribosomal RNA (253 nucleotides) under uncultured bacterium. RNAcentral's name for it is "partial 16S ribosomal RNA". It matches the Rfam family "Bacterial small subunit ribosomal RNA", at positions 524 to 776 of the family's 1533-position model. The record is from RNAcentral.
UACGUAGGGGGCAAGCGUUGUCCGGAUUUAUUGGGCGUAAAGAGCGUGUAGGCGGCUAGGUAGGUCCGUUGUGAAAACUCGAGGCUCAACCUCGAGCUGUCGAUGGAAACCAUCUGGCUAGAGUCCGGAAGAGGAGAGUGGAACUGCGAGUGUAGAGGUGAAAUUCGUAGAUAUUCGCAAGAACACCAGUGGCGAAGGCGGCUCACUGGCCCGGUACUGACGCUGAGGUGCGAAAGCGUGGGGAGCAAACAGG